Molecule: long non-coding RNA, 402 nt
Filed under: Phoenix dactylifera (date palm)
Lineage: Eukaryota; Viridiplantae; Streptophyta; Magnoliopsida; Arecales; Arecaceae
Description: long non-coding RNA (PDAC_LNC008245)
Source: RNAcentral
GAGAUUCUUUCACGUAUUCAAUUUAUCAUGUCGAUCCUGUACUAUGACCACAUAUUCCCUAUGGUAGGGUCAUCAACACCGACUAAUCUUCUUGCGGUGAGUCCUUCAGGACAGUCAAUUGCCAACGUAUCUGCCCCCAUUGGCGGGAUCCUCAACAUAGCCAGGUCGAUAGUUCAAUUAGUUCUCUAUUUCAUAUUUCAGUUAUAAAAAACAUACAGUGUCAAAACCAAAUAUCGUUCAUAUCUUAACCUCUUUCAAUUUAUCAGUUUCAACUCAAUAGUCAGGAACUAUGACCACAUGUUCCCUGUGGCAGGGUCAUAUCACCGACUAUUCUUCUUACGGUACCAAUGUAUUAGCCUCCAUUGGCAGGGUCCUCAACAUAGCUCGACUGCAAGUCUGAAU